GCGUUUAACAGCACAGAAUGUAUUUUUUGCAAUCGAAUGUUAGUCAGCGGUUUAAUUUCACAUUAAUGCAAUUCAAAUCAGUUAAAUGCAUGAAUAUUUUUUUGUUUCGUUCAAUGUAUAACCCCGUGAUCCAAAUAUCAUUCUGUGACUUUUCGGUAUUUUUUAGCGCAUUCUGGCCACCCUCAUACACAUAACAAAAGACAGGAAACAAAUUUAAAUUAAUACAGAAUUUGCGAAUAUUUUCCUGUCAUUAAAGAACAAUGUAAGUAGACACAAACACACGCACAAGACAGGAGCAACGAACUCGCAUUGCAAAAUGUUGCACAACCAAAAUUCCAUGUCCUAAUUUGUUCUGAAAACGUCUCUCUCACCGCCUCCUCAAAACGGAACAAAAAAA
Molecule: long non-coding RNA, 397 nt
Organism: Drosophila miranda
Lineage: Eukaryota; Metazoa; Arthropoda; Insecta; Diptera; Drosophilidae
Exons: 2
Source: RefSeq, a predicted model, not a curated record